Molecule: ribosomal RNA, 520 nt
Filed under: uncultured Glomeromycotina
Lineage: Eukaryota; Fungi; Glomeromycota
Description: SSU rRNA
Rfam family: Eukaryotic small subunit ribosomal RNA
Source: RNAcentral
CGCAGCCGCGGUAAUUCCAGCUCCAAUAGCGUAUAUUAAAGUUGUUGCAGUUAAAAAGCUCGUAGUUGAAUUUCGGGAUUGGCGCAUCGGUCGUGCCUCACGGGGUAUGAACUGGUGCAGUCAAUUCCUCACCUUCUGGAGAACCGCGAUGUCCUUAAUUGGGUGCCGCGGGGAACCAGGACCUUUACUUUGAAAAAAUUAGAGUGUUUAAAGCAGGCAUUUUUGCUUGAAUACAUUAGCAUGGAAUAAUAAAAUAGGACGGCAUGGUUCUAUUUUGUUGGUUUCUAGGACCACCGUAAUGAUUAAUAGGGAUAGUUGGGGGCAUUAGUAUUCAAUUGUCAGAGGUGAAAUUCUUGGAUUUAUUGAAGACUAACUACUGCGAAAGCAUUUGCCAAGGAUGUUUUCAUUAAUCAAGAACGAAAGUUAGGGGAUCGAAGACGAUCAGAUACCGUCGUAGUCUUAACCAUAAACUAUGCCGACUAGGAAUCAGACGAUGUUAAUUUUUAAUGUACUCGUUUGG